This 409-nucleotide ribosomal RNA is filed under the name bacterium. RNAcentral's name for it is "partial 16S ribosomal RNA". It matches the Rfam family "Bacterial small subunit ribosomal RNA", at positions 355 to 776 of the family's 1533-position model. The record is from RNAcentral.
UGGGGAAUAUUGCACAAUGGGCGAAAGCCUGAUGCAGCGACGCCGCGUGAGGGAUGACGGCCUUCGGGUUGUAAACCUCUUUCAGUAGGGACGAAGCGCAAGUGACGGUACCUGCAGAAGAAGCACCGGCUAACUACGUGCCAGCAGCCGCGGUAAUACGUAGGGUGCGAGCGUUGUCCGGAAUUACUGGGCGUAAAGAGCUCGUAGGCGGUUUGUCACGUCGUCUGUGAAAUCCUAGGGCUUAACCCUGGACGUGCAGGCGAUACGGGCUGACUUGAGGACUACAGGGGAGACUGGAAUUUCUGGUGUAGCGGUGGAAUGCACAGAUAUCAGGAAGAACACCGAUGGCGAAGGCAGGUCUCUGGGUAGUAACUGACGCUGAGGAGCGAAAGCAUGGGUAGCGAACAGG